GGACCCGUGGCUCAGCCAGGAUAGAGCGUCGGCCCUCUAAGCCGAAUGUCGGGGGUUCAAAUCCCCCCGGGUCCGCCA
Molecule: transfer RNA, 78 nt
Filed under: Caldisphaera lagunensis DSM 15908
Lineage: Archaea; Thermoproteati; Thermoproteota; Thermoprotei; Acidilobales; Acidilobaceae
Also listed under: 1 other name
Description: tRNA-Arg (TCT) (tRNA-Arg-TCT-1-1)
Rfam family: tRNA
About the family: Transfer RNA (tRNA) molecules are approximately 80 nucleotides in length.
Source: RNAcentral